CCCUUAGAUGUCCGGGGCCGCACGCGCGCUACGCUGAAGGAAUCAGCGUGGCUUUCUCCCUGACCCGAAAGGGUUGGGAAACCCGUUGAAUCUCCUUCGUGAUAGGGAUUGGGGCUUGAAAUUGUUCCCCAUGAACGAGGAAUUCCCAGUAAGCGCGAGUCAUAAGCUCGCGUUGAUUACGUCCCUGCCCUUUGUACACACCGCCCGUCGCUACUACCGAUUGAACGGUUUAGUGAGGGCCUCGGAUUGGUCUCGGCCCGCUCUUUACCGGGCGGCGCCGUUGGUCGAGAAGACGCUCGAACUUGAUCGUUUAGAGGAAGUAAAAGUCGUAACA
Molecule: ribosomal RNA, 334 nt
Filed under: uncultured eukaryote
Lineage: Eukaryota
Description: partial 18S ribosomal RNA
Rfam family: Eukaryotic small subunit ribosomal RNA
Source: RNAcentral